UUGAUCCUGGCUCAGAAUCAACGCUGGCGGCGUGCCUAACACAUGCAAGUCGAACGCGAAAGGGGCUUCGGCCCUGAGUAGAGUGGCAAACGGGUGAGUUACACGUGGGUGACCUGCCUCAGAGUGGGGGAUAACGUCCCGAAAGGGACUCUAAUACCGCAUAGCAUCCUGCCCAUGGAAGGGUGGAGAUCAAAGCCGGUGAUCGCAAGACCUGGCGCUUGGAGAGGGGCCCGCGUCUGAUUAGCUAGUUGGUAGGGUAAUGGCCUACCAAGGCAACGAUCAGUAUCCGGCCUGAGAGGUCGGACGGACACACUGGGACUGAGACACGGCCCAGACUCCUACGGGAGGCUGCAGUGGGGAAUUGUUCGCAAUGGGCGCAAGCCUGACGACGCAACGCCGUGUGGAGGAUGAAGAUCUUCGGGUCGUAAACUCCUGUCGAGCGGGAAGAAUUCCUGCCCGGCUAAUAUCCGGGUCGGUUGACGGUACCGCUAAAGGAAGCUCCGGCUAACUCCGUGCCAGCAGCCGCGGUAAUAAGGU
This 537-nucleotide ribosomal RNA is filed under the name uncultured Acidobacteriota bacterium. RNAcentral's name for it is "bacterial SSU rRNA". It matches the Rfam family "Bacterial small subunit ribosomal RNA", at positions 13 to 529 of the family's 1533-position model. The record is from RNAcentral. Lineage: Bacteria; Pseudomonadati; Acidobacteriota.